AUUUAAUUUUCUAAAUUGCAAACCAAUGGAAGGAAAAGAGAACCCUUGUCUCCGAUAACCCACUCCAUCUCAACUUUCUCCACUGACAGCCGCUCACCACCACCGUCACAUGCCUUGCCAUCGCCGAGGAUCACUGCCUAUUGUCCUACAUGCACAUCUGUCUUCCUGUUUUCACACUCUACCUCAGAUCUAGGUCAAAUCCGCGCUAGAUCCAGUCAGAUCCGUGUCGCUGCUCUAGACACCAAACAGUGUUGCCGUUGCCGUCGCAGUCAAAGCCACCACCGAGCAGGCCUGUAGGUCCGCCGCCUGGUCUCUCUCACUCUCAUGAAGCCGCUGAUCAGGAUCACUGGUCCGUUGCGUUGCUGUCUCUCGCUUUUACAAAGCCGCCGCCGCCGCCGCCGUAGGCUCGACGAUCCAUCCCCUUUUCCAAUUGUCAUGAUCCUUCCUUUUUCUUCAUCAAAGGUUGUUAUUCCAUCCAUCUUAUAUAUUAUUAUUUUUAUUCUAUACAAAUUGAUUCUUAUGAUGUUAGUAUUAAGAUUGAUUGUGCUAUGUUUUUUUGUUCUUCCCUCUUUUAUAUGGGGAAUUUCAUCAAACAUGUUCUGUGCACUCUGCAUUGCAAAAAUAUGCAUGUGGUUAUCUUGGUUUUGUGAUUGCAUUAGACAAUUAUUUAUUUCCUUGCUUUCCGAACUAGAGUUUGUUGAUUAGAGUCAGAGAAGUUAUGCAGAGAAUUUUCACUCUCCACUGCAAUUGAACUUUGCUUCUGAAAUGUAUAUGGCUCUUUUUAUCUAGAAGUGUGACUAGAAAAUACUGAUGUUAUAGUAAUUCUCAUCAUGUGUAGGAACUUAGAAGUGUUAGAUUAGAUUCGAAAAUUGUAAAUGUAAAUUAUUGUCUUGCCUUUACUUUGUUUCUUCUUGUUGCUUCCUUAUUGUAUCUGUGAACUAUGAUGACUUGUUUUCUCUCAAUGUAACAAGUAGUGACAACAAUGAAUACUCACCUUCCUAUCUUAAUUACAUUUCACCAAAAUUUUAAUGCCUCAUAAUUCUUGCAUCAUAUUACAUGUGGUGUUUCUCAUGUUAAGUAUACAAAACUUAGCAAAUUAGAAUCAUCUUUAUUCAAGUAUUUAAAUCCAAAUUGAGGAUUCUUUGGGUUGACUUAAGCUAGAGCCAUAGUUCGAAUAACCUUGAUUUGUCUUAAAUAACAAGGAAAUAAAUACUUAGUUGAUUAUUGUCAUCCUUAUUCAAGUAUUUGUUCUUAUAUUAUGUAAAUAUCAAGCAACACAAUGUUAUAUUACCUUACUACAUGUUCUGUGCACUAAGCAAUAUGAAAGCUGCUUAGCUACCUUUAUUGUUGUCCCUAGUCAGAAGAAAGAAACUUGAAUUUUUACAAGAAAAAGAGGGAGAAAACAAUCAAGUUACCCUUGUUGUGGAUUGAUCUACAAUCAAGUAAGUGAUUAUGAUGUAAAUUGAAUUUGCUAACUAAGAAGUUAGGACUAGCAACUUCUUAAUUUGACUUUUCCAUUCAUUAUAUCCAUCCUUUUUCUUCUUUUUUUUCAUCGUUUAUUUUUUUAUUAUUCCUUUUUUAUUUUUUUACCAAAUCGAUUUUUUGGCAACAGAAUGUUGUUGUUGGGUUGGUAGAGAUUAUAAUUAGAGAGAGAAAAAGGAAAAGGAAGGGUCCUUUAAAUAUGGCCUCAACUGGAAGCAUUUUGGGUUUCGUAGAGAAGGCAAUCACUGGUAUUGUUAUCACUAUUAUCCUUUUUAAUGUUCCUUUUCAAUCUUAAUUUUGAUUCAUUAUUAUGCUUCCAUAAUUUAUUAUACACGAUCAGUUUGAAUGAGCUAUGGGCUUUGAUUUGUUGUUAUUGAGCUUUUUUUGUGUACUGCAUGCAUUUGUGUGUAUAGAAAGAAAACAGUGUUUGAUUGAUUUUUUUUUCUUUUGGUGUAUUCAUGAUGAUAAUUUUGUUAGUAGUAUUUUUUUAUGAUGAGUUCAGAUUAUUUAUCAUAGAUGAUAGAUAGAUAGGUAAAUUAAAUCAAUACCUAUCUGGGACACAAGAUUUUCUUAUUCUGUAUCAAUUUUACUUGGUUAUCACUAAGUAGUUUUCUAUCCAUCCUUUUGGAAUGUUCACUUCAUGCGUUGUGAUUAAUCUGCUAAGGGAGAUACAGGGAGGGAGGAGCGGCAGUUGCAGUGACAACACAAGUCUCCUCCAUUUGCAAUUAGUUGGAAUCAUCUUCAUGUGUCUCUACCUAACAGCUUAACAAUGAUUUUGGAAGAUCUGAUCCAAACUUUUAGUGAGGUACCAAAGAAUAUCAAUUUUGUACAACGUAACAAUCGCUUGUGUUGGAAAUUGUAAGUAGCAUUGUUGAUUUAUUAGAGUUUUGUGAUUUGUUUCUAAAUUAUUCUAACUUUUUUUGCCUUUUAUUUUUGGUUAAUACCCUUUUUUUUCAGUAAUAAGAGAGGGAAGCCUAUGAUUAUAGACCUAGGUCUAUAAAGCCUUAAUAAAUCAGACUAAAAAAGAUAUAAAACAUCCUUAAUCUAAUCAAAUGACAAAUAUUGAUGGACAAACUUUUGGUUAUAUAUGUGGGAUGGAGGGAGUGUAAUGUUAAUAAUGUCCAUAUACUAAACAAUUAUUUAGUUUUAGCAAGAUAAUUGUUUCUUUAUGUGCAGUGCUCUGGAGUUUUUUCUAGUUAAAAGAAAGAUUAGGAAAUCCUCGUAGCUACAGGUUUUGAACUUUUCAACUAGCCAAUUUCUAAGAAGGAAAGAUUUGUAAGUUGUGCAUCCACUAUAAGUAGUGUAUUUUGAUCUUCAUAUAGGAUACUUAAUUUUAUUAUUUUGAUCUUCAUGUAGGAAACAUCUCUUAAAGCUGUUUCACAAAAGGAAUGGAUAGUGAAAAAUUCAAAACAUUGAUUCUAGUUGAUGCAGCUAAGAAUCUGUUUAAAGAAAAGAAGACCAAAAAAAUGCAACAUAAAAUCGAAUAUAAGCUAGGAAGAAAAAAAAGAGUUGCGGUUUGAACAAAGUACUACUUCAUUUCGAAAAUUAUUCUGUUAAUUUAAGAGAAGAAAAUUGUAGCAUUAAAUUAGCAAGAGAGCAAAGACCAACUUCAAAACUAAGAAAACCGUGUCAUUGGUGUCAAGAUGAAAAAUAUUGCCAAGCUAUCAAUUCCUUGAAAAGUAGCCAAAGGUUUAUAGUUUUGAAUUCUUUAGUAUAUUCAUGAUUUAUGAUUUUCCUUUCUCAUUUACUUUUAAAUUCUUAGAUCAAUUGCUAAAAACGAAAGCUAGGCUACUUUUCAAGGUGCAACUUUAGAUCAUUGCUUACACUCGUAUUGCUACAUUGAUGUAACAUAGUUAUAGGCUUGUAGAAUUUUUUGUUAUUUAGAUUGUAACAUGAUUUAUUACUUUUCAAGAAAAAAUUGUGUAUCAAUAUUUUGAGUCUAAUGAAAUAUCUCAUUUUGUA
This is an RNA transcript of Arachis ipaensis, 3444 nucleotides long. RefSeq lists it as uncharacterized. Lineage: Eukaryota; Viridiplantae; Streptophyta; Magnoliopsida; Fabales; Fabaceae. The record is from RefSeq and is a predicted model, not a curated record.